AGAAGACGACGAUGGUGAUGGGAGUGGGCGCGUGCCUAACCGUCGUCAAUGAGGUCUUUAAAACUCCCCGAGUGUCCGGCCUACACAAACAGAGGGCGGCCAGGCCACCGCUAGAGAUACUCCCAUAAUUGCCUGCCCAAUCAGCCUGCCAAUUCUCGUUUGUUAUAAUCUGGUCGUUUUGUUUAGGCGUGAUAAUCCUUCUAUUUUUAUAUUCAUUCAGAUCUAACCUAGUAAUGGAGUAGUAACGUAAAUCUCCUUGGCGUGCCGAGAGCCGAUCAGCCCACACGCAUCUGCCUUCCUUCCCGGCUAGCAGCUAUAUAUCGACCGACCAAUCGAUCGUGUUCAAGACCUCGCAACCUCUGCUCCCUGGUUCCGUUCGUUUGGUUCCAAACUUCCAAUUCAGCCCAAAGGUACGUCUUUUGUAGUAGUAUAAGAGAGAUUUCAUCGUCAAUCUUCAGGUAUCCUCGAUAAUUUCGUUGCGUAUCCGGUCCGGAAAUCGCGUGCGUAUUCUCGUACGGGGUUUGUUACCGAUUCUGAUGCCCUGCCCUCAACAAACUUUAAAAAAUCAGACCCAAUCCCAUCCGCAGGGCAGAGGGCAGGGCGAUGAAGUACAGCAAGGAGGCCAAGCCCGAGAGGGCGGGCGGCGGCGGCGGCGGCGCCAGGGCCGUGCCGGUGGCGCUCAUGCUCCUCCUCCUCUGCGGCUUCUCCUUCUACCUCGGCGGCAUGUACAGCACCGGCCGCACCUUCACCUUCUCCUCCACCACCACCAGCAUCAUCCCCAUCGUCUCCACGGCGAAGCAGGAGGGCUCCGCGAUCGCGCUCGCCAUUGCCAGGAACGGCAACGGCGACGACGAGGUCGAGUUUUCAGAGUGCCCCGCUGAUUACCAGGACUACACCCCCUGCACCGACCCCAAGCGCUGGAGGAGGUACGGGAACUACCGGCUCAGCUUCAUGGAGCGGCACUGCCCGCCGCCGCCGGAGCGCGCCGUCUGCCUGGUGCCCCCGCCGCGGGGCUACAAGCCGCCCAUCCGCUGGCCCAAGAGCAAGGACCAGUGCUGGUACCGCAACGUGCCCUACGACUGGAUCAACAGCCAGAAGUCCAACCAGCACUGGCUCCGCAAGGACGGCGACCGCUUCACCUUCCCCGGCGGCGGCACCAUGUUCCCCAACGGCGUCGGCGCGUACGUCGACCUCAUGGCCGACCUGAUCCCCGGCAUGAAGGACGGCAGCGUGCGCACCGCGCUCGACACGGGCUGCGGCGUCGCCAGCUGGGGCGGCGACCUGCUGGCCCGCAACAUCCUGACCGUGUCGCUGGCGCCCAGGGACAACCACGAGGCCCAGGUGCAGUUCGCGCUGGAGCGCGGCAUCCCGGCCAUCCUCGGCAUCAUCUCCACGCAGCGCCUGCCCAUCCCCUCGGCCUCCAUGGACAUGGCGCACUGCUCCAGGUGCCUCAUCCCGUGGACGGAGUUCGGCGGGCUCUACCUGAUGGAGAUCCAGCGGGUGCUCCGGCCCGGCGGCUUCUGGGUGCUCUCGGGCCCGCCCAUCAACUACGAGAACCGGUGGCACGGCUGGAACACCACGGUGGAGGCGCAGAAAGCCGACUUCGACCGGCUCAAGAAGAUGCUCGCCAGCAUGUGCUUCCGGCUGUACAACAAGAAGGGCGACAUCGCGGUGUGGCAGAAGUCCCUCGACGCCGGCUGCUACGACAAGCUGACGCCGGUGACCACCCCGGCCAAGUGCGACGACAGCGUCGACGCCGACGCCGCGUGGUACGUGCCCAUGCGCUCCUGCGUGACCGCGCCCAGCCCCAAGUCCCGCGGCAAGGCGCUGCCCAAGUGGCCCCAGAGGCUGAGCGUCGCGCCGGAGCGCGUCUCCGUUGUCCCCGGCGGCAGCGGCAGCGCCAUGAAGCACGACGACGGCAAGUGGAAGGCGGCCACGAAGCACUACAAGGCGCUGCUGCCCGCGCUGGGGAGCGACAAGGUGCGGAACGUCAUGGACAUGAGCGCCGUCUACGGAGGGUUCGCGGCGAGCCUCGUCAAGGACCCCGUGUGGGUCAUGAACGUCGUCUCCUCCUACGGGCCCAACUCCCUCGGCGUCGUCUACGACAGAGGACUCAUCGGCACCAACCACGACUGGUGCGAGGCCUUCUCCACGUACCCACGGACGUACGAUCUGCUGCACGCCGACGGCCUGUUCACCGCAGAAUCACACAGAUGCGAGAUGAAAUUUGUGCUUGUUGAGAUGGACCGCAUCCUUCGUCCGACCGGCUACGCCAUCAUCCGGGACAACCCCUACUUCCUCGACUCCGUGGCCUCCAUCGCCAAGGGGAUGAGAUGGACCUGCGACAGGCACGACACCGAGAACAAGGAGAAUGAGAAGGAGAAGCUCCUCAUCUGCCACAAGCAGCUCUGGUCGGCAAAGAAGGCAUAGCUGCGAACCAGCAGUCUCAGUGACAGGAAUUGACCAUGAUCCCACGGAAAGGCGAGGGCGAUUCAUAGUCGACACUUUGAUAGAACAAGGGGGGGUUCAUAGUCAUCAAAAUAAACUACAUGAGUAAUAUAAAUAUAGUUUUAUCAUAUUCAUAUAUAGGAGGAUCCAAUAGUUAGCUAUUGAUCACACAACAGUUGAUUCUUUUUCUUUGCGGAAGAACCAGGGGAGGUAAAGUUUGGUGAGUCACCUGUAAGUUGUUAUCCGAAUACUGUAUGCAUGUCCUAUAGCUAGUCGGUACUGUGAUUGUAAUCGAGCAAUCAAGCGGGGUGGCUAUAAAUAUUAUUUAUUCAAAUAUUUAUGGAGCACGAAGUGAUAGUGAUGCAGUGUCAUUCCUUGCCC
This 2829-nucleotide ribosomal RNA is filed under the name Triticum aestivum (bread wheat). RNAcentral describes it as "partial small subunit ribosomal RNA". The record is from RNAcentral. Lineage: Eukaryota; Viridiplantae; Streptophyta; Magnoliopsida; Poales; Poaceae.